UUUACAAGCAGUUUGUGCAUAAAAUUGCAAUUCAACAUCAACUGUUGAAUGGAUUCUUCGGAGUUUGAAAAUAAACAUCAAGCAUUACAAUGUUCAGAAAUCUUGAGAACAUAUUUGAUAAUAAAAACGUAAAAAGUCAAAGUUAUGUUGCGAGCCAAGAGUUGGAACAUUUAUACGUUAUCAUAACGUGUGCACGGAUAGACGAAACAAUUGAACAAAGACUAUUCCAUUUCCAUAGUUGAAUUUGCUGUUGGAAGUUGUUUUUAAAAUCAGUAUAUUGAUACUGUGCGUUACCUAUAUAUAAAGAGGGGUUAGUUCGCAGUACCUAAUCAUCAUCGUCUUCAUUAUUUAAUUUACCUCGAGAAAAACGGUAUGUUCCUCAGCUUCAUCUUAUUUGUCUUGAUUGCCAUGCCAACCUCCUCUUCUUCGACCGAAGUGAUACUCAAGGGGGAUUAUAGAGUAGUAGAUGUGUGCCCGGAUAUGCAAGACCUUGCUUGCAUUCAGUUCCAAGAAUGCACAGAACAACAGGUUGUGCUUGAAUGCCCAAGUGGUUCUUACCAGGUGUUCCAUCCGUCCUGCGGUGGUUGCCCAAGAUGCUGCCCUGUUUAAAUUACCUAUCGGACACUGAUUGUACUGUGUUUCAUACGUUUAUACGUCUAUGUUAUGUAAGCCCUUGUAAUUGUUGUGUGUGGAUGGUAUUUUGUGUACAUUUCUGCUCUUAAUUUGAUGCAGCUGCUUACUGUAUCAUAUAUUUAUGUACCAAUGCUUGUCAUCUCUUUCGUAAAUUUAAUAAAGAUUGUGUCAGUUUGAUAA
This is a long non-coding RNA of Papaver somniferum (opium poppy), 813 nucleotides long. RefSeq lists it as uncharacterized. The transcript has 2 exons. NCBI's taxonomy places the organism in Eukaryota, Viridiplantae, Streptophyta, Magnoliopsida, Ranunculales, Papaveraceae. The record is from RefSeq and is a predicted model, not a curated record.